GUGCUUGCUUUGGCAGCACAUAUACUAAAAUUGGAACAAUACAAAGAUCAGCAUAGCUGCUAUGUAAGGAUGACAAGUAAAUUCCUGAAGCAUUUCAUAGUUAU
Small nuclear RNA from Microtus ochrogaster (prairie vole), 104 nucleotides. The record is from Ensembl. Lineage: Eukaryota; Metazoa; Chordata; Mammalia; Rodentia; Cricetidae.